This 680-nucleotide ribosomal RNA is filed under the name uncultured fungus. Its description in RNAcentral is "eukaryotic LSU rRNA". The stretch from base 252 to 405 matches the Rfam family "5.8S ribosomal RNA". The record is from RNAcentral. Lineage: Eukaryota; Fungi.
AGGAUCAUUAUCCUAACAAAAUGUGCAAGGCAUGCGCGCGAGGGCUGUCGCUGACUUUUUCAAGUCGUGCACGCCCAGCGUGUGUGUUCCUUGUCACAUAAAAUCCAUCUCACCCUUUUGUGCACCACCGCGUGGGCUUCUUCCCUUCGGGAUCAAACCGAUCCGGGAAGGGGGGGGCUUGCGUUUUCACACAAAACCCCCUUUUAAAAGUGUAGAAUGACCUCAUUUUUGCGAUAACACGCAAUCAAUACAACUUUCAACAACGGAUCUCUUGGCUCUCGCAUCGAUGAAGAACGCAGCGAAAUGCGAUACGUAAUGUGAAUUGCAGAAUUCAGUGAAUCAUCGAAUCUUUGAACGCACCUUGCGCCCCCUGGUAUUCCGAGGGGCACACCCGUUUGAGUGUCGUGAAAACCUCAACCUUCUCGGUUUCUUCUUGGACACCGAAGGAGGCUUGGACUUUGGAGGCCAUUGCCGGCAUCUCUGCCGGCUCCUCUCAAAUGAAUUAGCAGGGUCCUCUUUGCCGAUCCUCGACAUGUGAUAAGAUGUUUCCAUGUCUUGGUCUAUGGCUCUGUUGCCUUUGGGACCUGCUUCUAGCCGUCUCGUCGAGACAAUGUUUGAGCGUGUCUUCUUCCCUUCUCGGGGAAACAAACACUCUCGGACCCACGAACCCUUGACCUCAA